Molecule: ribosomal RNA, 764 nt
Filed under: uncultured fungus
Lineage: Eukaryota; Fungi
Description: eukaryotic LSU rRNA
Rfam family: Eukaryotic large subunit ribosomal RNA
Source: RNAcentral
AGCAUAUCAAUAAGCGGAGGAAAAGAAAAUAACAAUGAUUCCCUUAGUAACGGCGAGUGAAGGGGGAAAAGCUCAAAUUUUAAAUCUGCUAGGUUUUACCUGUCAGAAUUGUAAUUUGAAGAAGCGUUUUCCGCGUCUCGGUUGGCCCAAAUCCUUUGGGAUAAGGUAUCAUGGAGGGUGAGAAUCCCGUUCGGUUGACCUUAUGACGCACUACGAUACGCUUUCUAAGAGUCGAGUUGUUUGGGAUUGCAGCUCAAAAUGGGAGGUAAAUUUCUCCUAAGGCUAAAUAUCGGCGAGAGACCGAUAGCGAACAAGUACCGUGAGGGAAAGAUGAAAAGAACUUUGAAAAGAGAGUAAAAUAGUACGUGAAAUUGUUGAAAGGGAAACGAUUGAAGUCAGCCGUACCGACGAGAAAUCAGCUUAUCGUGUAUUAACUUGUGGGCGUGCGUGAGUUUCAGCCUCGCUGUUUGCAUAUUUGUGCGCUUUGGGUGUACUUUUUCGUAUGGUUGGCCAACAUCAGUUUCGAUUACUAUAAAAUGACUGGCGGAAUGUAGCUUCGAUUUCGGUUGAAGUGUUAUAGCCUCUGGUAGAUGUGGUGAUUGGGACUGAGGAUUGCAACGAAUAUCCUUUGGGCUAUCCAUCUGGCCUCUGAAAGUUGCUUGGGUGCUGAAAGCUUGCUUAUGGUUAUCUAAGUUAACGGUCAAUAGGUUAGAACGCGAUUACAUUCGUUAAGGAUGUUGGCGUAAUGGCUUUAAACGACCCGU